UCCAGACUCCUACGGGAGGCAGCAAUGGGGGAUAUUGCACAAUGGGGGGAACCCUGAUGCAGCGACGCCGCGUGGGUGAAGGAGCGUUUCGGCGCGUAAAGCCCUAUCGGCAGGGAAGAAGGAGGACGGUACCUGACUAAGAAGCCCCGGAUAACUACGUGCCAGCAGCCGCGGUAAUACGUAGGGGGCAAGCGUUAUCCGGAUUUACUGGGUGUAAAGGGAGCGUAGACGGUCCUGCAAGCCAGAUGUGAAAGCCCGGGGCUCAACCCCGGGACUGCAUUUGGAACUGUAAGGCUAGAGUGUCGGAGAGGCAGGCGGAAUUCCUAGUGUAGCGGUGAAAUGCGUAGAUAUUAGGAGGAACACCAGUGGCGAAGGCGGCCUGCUGGACUGCAACUGACGUUGAGGCUCGAAGGCGUGGGGAGCAAACAGGAUUAGAUACCCUGGUA
This 446-nucleotide ribosomal RNA is filed under the name uncultured bacterium. RNAcentral describes it as "bacterial SSU rRNA". It matches the Rfam family "Bacterial small subunit ribosomal RNA", at positions 330 to 792 of the family's 1533-position model. The record is from RNAcentral.